GAUGAACGCUGGCGGCGUGCCUAAUACAUGCAAGUCGAGCGAACAGACGAGGAGCUUGCUCCUCUGACGUUAGCGGCGGACGGGUGAGUAACACGUGGAUAACCUACCGAUAAGACUGGGAUAACUUCGGGAAACCGGAGCUAAUACCGGAUAAUAUAUUGAACCGCAUGGUUCAAUAGUGAAAGACGGUUUUGCUGUCACUUAUAGAUGGAUCCUCGCCGCAUUAGCUAGUUGGUAAGGUAACGGCUUACCAAGGCAACGAUGCGUAGCCGACCUGAGAGGGUGAUCGGCCACACUGGAACUGAGACACGGUCCAGACUCCUACGGGAGGCAGCAGUAGGGAAUAUUCCGCAAUGGGCGAAAGCCUGACGGAGCAACGCCGCGUGAGUGAUGAAGGUCUUCGGAUCGUAAAACUCUGUUAUUAGGGAAGAACAAAUGUGUAAGUAACUCUGCACGUCUUGACGGUACCUAAUCAGAAAGCCACGGCUAACUACGUG
Molecule: ribosomal RNA, 497 nt
Filed under: uncultured bacterium
Lineage: Bacteria
Description: partial 16S ribosomal RNA
Rfam family: Bacterial small subunit ribosomal RNA
Source: RNAcentral